Molecule: ribosomal RNA, 497 nt
Filed under: uncultured bacterium
Lineage: Bacteria
Description: partial 16S ribosomal RNA
Rfam family: Bacterial small subunit ribosomal RNA
Source: RNAcentral
GAUGAACGCUGGCGGCGUGCCUAAUACAUGCAAGUCGAGCGAACAGACGAGGAGCUUGCUCCUCUGACGUUAGCGGCGGACGGGUGAGUAACACGUGGAUAACCUACCUAUAAGACUGGGAUAACUUCGGGAAACCGGAGCUAAUACCGGAUAAUAUAUUGAACCGCAUGGUUCAAUAGUGAAAGACGGUUUUGCUGUCACUUAUAGAUGGAUCCGCGCCGCAUUAGCUAGUUGGUAAGGUAACGGCUUACCAAGGCAACGAUGCGUAGCCGACCUGAGAGGGUGAUCGGCCACACUGGAACUGAGACACGGUCCAGACUCCUACGGGAGGCAGCAGUAGGGAAUCUUCCGCAAAGGGCGAAAGCCUGACGGAGCAACGCCGCGUGAGUGAUGAAGGUAUUCGGAUCGUAAAACUCUGUUAUUAGGGAAGAACAAAUGUGUAAGUAACUAUGCACGUCUUGACGGUACCUAAUCAGAAAGCCACGGCUAACUACGUG